Molecule: ribosomal RNA, 466 nt
Filed under: uncultured bacterium
Lineage: Bacteria
Description: partial 16S ribosomal RNA
Rfam family: Bacterial small subunit ribosomal RNA
Source: RNAcentral
CCUACGGGAGGCUGCAGUCGAGAAUCAUUCACAAUGGGGGAAACCCUGAUGGUGCGACGCAGCGUGGGGGAAUGAAGGUCUUCGGAUCGUAAAACCCUGUUGUUAGGGAAGAAAGUGCGUGAGAGUAACUGUUCACGUUUCGACGGUAUCUAACCAGAAAGCCACGGCUAACUACGUGCCAGCAGCCGCGGUAAUACGUAGGUGGCAAGCGUUAUCCGGAUUUAUUGGGCGUAAAGGGAACGGAGGCGGUCUUUUAAAUCUGAUGUGAAAGCCUUCGGCUUAACCGGAGUAGUGCAUUGGAAACUGGGAGACUUGAGUGCAGAAGAGGAGAGUGGAACUCCAUGUGUAGCGGUGAAAUGCGUAGAUAUAUGGAAGAACACCAGUGGCGAAAGCGGCUCUCUGGUCUGUAACUGACGCUGAGGUUCGAAAGCGUGGGUAGCAAACAGGAUUAGAUACCCCUGUAGUC